This 1156-nucleotide ribosomal RNA is filed under the name Synergistetes bacterium oral taxon 361. RNAcentral's name for it is "bacterial SSU rRNA". It matches the Rfam family "Bacterial small subunit ribosomal RNA", at positions 28 to 1217 of the family's 1533-position model. Lineage: Bacteria; Thermotogati; Synergistota. The record is from RNAcentral.
GAUGAACGCUGGCGGCGUGCGUAACACAUGCAAGUUGGACGACGGUGUCAAGAAGUGGUAACACGGAUUGAUAUACGGAGUAGCGGACGGGUGAGUAAAGCAUGAGAAGCUGUCCUACGGAGGGGGAUAACGUUCGGAAACGGACCCUAAUACCCCAUAGUCCGAGAGGUUAAAGGCAGAGAUGUGCCGUAGGAGGUGCUCGUGUCCUAUCAGCUAGUUGGUGAGGUAAGGGCUCACCAAGGCAACGACGGGUAGCCGGCCUGAGAGGGUGACCGGCCACACUGGAACUGAGAUACGGUCCAGACUCCUACGGGAGGCAGCAGUGGGGAAUAUUGGGCAAUGGGAGGAAUCCUGACCCAGCGACGCCGCGUGAACGAAGACGGCCUUCGGGUUGUAAAGUUCUUUUAUGUGGGAAGAAGGAAGUGACGGUACCACAUGAAUAAGCCCCGGCUAACUACGUGCCAGCAGCCGCGGUAAUACGUAGGGGGCGAGCGUUGUCCGGAAUUACUGGGCGUAAAGGGCACGCAGGCUGUGCUUCAAGUCAGCUGUAAAAGGAUGCGGCUUAACCGUGUUAUGCAGUUGAGACUGAGGUGCUGGAGUACCGGAGAGGCAAGUGGAAUUCCCAGUGUAGCGGUGAAAUGCGUAGAUAUUGGGAAGAACAUCGGUGGCGAAGGCGACUUGCUGGACGGUAACUGACGCUGAGGUGCGAAAGCCAGGGUAGCGAACGGGAUUAGAUACCCCGGUAGUCCUGGCGGUAAACGAUGAAUGCUAGGUGUGCGAGCAGAGAUGUUGGUGUGCCGCAGUUAACGCGAUAAGCAUUCCGCCUGGGGAGUACGGUCGCAAGAUUGAAACUCAAAGGAAUUGACGGGGGCCCGCACAAGCGGUGGAGCACGUGGUUAAUUCGAUGCAAACCGAAGAACCUUACCUGGGUUUGACAUGUACGUAGUAAGAGUCUGAAAGGAUGAUGACGUUACCUUCGGGGUACUGAGCGUACACAGGGGCUGCAUUGGCUGUCGUCAGCCCGUGUCGUGAGAGUUGGGGUUAGUUCCGCCACGAGCGCACCCCUGCGAAUAGUUGCUACGGGUAAGCUAGACCCUAGUGGACUGCAUCACAGAUGAGAGGUGGAUACGUCAGUAUAUGGCCUAUUCAGGCAAAC